UUGAGAGUGGGUAGUCUUUUAUUACUUUUUCUUUUCUUUUUUUUAAUAUUAUUUUUUGUUACCGUUGGAAGAAGAGAGUUUUCUUUUAUUUUCAUUUUUUAAAAUUAUUAUUCAAUUUAUUUCUAAAUUCUGAUUGGAUAAUAACAUGUACAUGGAUUGUGAACUUAGACCCUUGAUUAAUUUGAAUCAACGAUUCAGAUUGAAUCAAAGAAGCACACCAAGA
This 223-nucleotide long non-coding RNA is filed under the name Lathyrus oleraceus (garden pea). Its description in RNAcentral is "Pisum sativum (pea) long non-coding RNA (PSAT_LNC023853)". Lineage: Eukaryota; Viridiplantae; Streptophyta; Magnoliopsida; Fabales; Fabaceae. The record is from RNAcentral.